AAACUAUAGUUAGUAUAGACACUAUAGUUAGUAUAGUUAAUACUUUUUAAUAGUAGAUCUAUAAUCUAUCAAUUCUAUCUAAAUCUAGACUUCACUUUCACAUCACAUUCACAUGAUUAUUAAUACAGACAGUGAAUGAAAUGAAUGCAGUGGUUAUACUGAUUAUACUUAAAGUGACGAUACUACUUAUAGAUCUACCAGUUGAUAAACAUCAUCAUCAUAGAUAAUAAUCUACAUCUAUAAUCAUAGUGCCCUUUAUUUAGUCAAUAUAGUCAAGUCAAGGUAGUGGAACGUAAACUCGAAGGUUUAAUGUUUAAUACAAUACGUUAUUAACAAGUAGAACCAUGGCAACCAGUUCUGAUGAUGUACCAGAAUGGCUCAAGGAUCAUACUUAUACUAUUUCUACUCUCUGGGCAUUCAUUCAAUAUUUAAUUUAUGUUUGGAAAUGCAAGAAAAAGGCAUGCAUUCCUGAAAAGUCAAUGAUUGGUUGCACCUCUUAAAGGUAAGAUAACUUUCUGUUAUGAGAAAAGAUGAGAUUCUUGGACUCCUGCAUAGCACCACCAGAAAGGAAAAUCCCAUCAUGUUGCAAAAUAAAAGUCUUGGACCAAUUUUAAUUUAAGAUAUAUAUAUUAUACUGUAAGCUGUAUACAUAUUUAUGUAUAUCCUGUCAUUCAGCCAACAGGUUUGGAUUUAGUAUUUCUUUAAAUCUGUUUGAUACUGUACUUCAAAACUAUUAAUCUGAGCCCCAUUAAAACAAGAGGGAGUGCAGUGGAUGAGUGGUAAGGGAAAUUUUACUUUUUUAAAAUUAAAAUAAGAAUCUAACAAAAGUAAACAUAUAAAAUAUGGUGCAUUCUCCUUAAAACUAAAACCUGGUGCAAAAAUUAAAAUAAAAUGUUGGCAAAAAAAAAAAGCAACAUCAAUUAAAUAUUCUUAAUUCCCUUUGCAAAACUUACUGAGAAGAACAUGCAUGUUGUUCCCUCAUAAGUUUCUUGACAGAGGAAAUCUUGUUUAUAUUAGAUUUGAAUUAAGCAAAUUAAGAAAAAAAUUAUAAUCAUUAUUUCAAAUGGUUGUAUCUAAACCUUAUGAAUUAUUUUUCAGUUAUAAGUAUAUUGAAAUGAAUGGAUAAUCAUGAAAUUGUUAAAUAAUUGCUGCUAUCAUUCCAUUGACUAAAGAACCAUAAUUUUUUUUUUUAAUUAAUUUCAAAAUUAAUUAAUUAAUUAAUUUUCAAGCAGAGUUCACAUAGAUCUUGAGUGAAAUUUUUCUUUUUUUGACUAAUGCUUCAAUUUUAUUGUAUCAUUAGUUUUUUAUUUUUAUUACCCAGAAUAUUUAAAAAAUGAGUACACUAUUUUCAUGUAAUAAUGUAACUUGGUAUUCACACAUCAAAAUACGCUAUAAUCUUUAGGCCAUAUAGAUUUGUAUAAAUAUAUAUUAACUUGCUUUAAUACAUUGUAAAUGUAUAUUGUUUGGAUAAGAAUUAAGUUUUUCUGUAGAAAAUUAUUGUUCAAGAUUUGUUGAUGCUCCUGCUUAAUAAAUUAUAUAUACAGGUCAUUAGUUUUAACACACAACUGACACAAGAAAAACUGGUCGCCCCCACUUCCAUUACAUAGAUGUAAUAAAACGUGACCUCAAAUCAGUGAACAUCAAUACUGACAAUUGGGAAGACAUAGCUUUAGACCGCAACAGAUGGAGAGACAGUGACCAAGAAAGCUAUGGACAGUGAAAGUACAUAGGUCUCAGCUCAGGAAGAAAAACGUACUAUCCGAAAAACGACCAGCUCCUCUACCACCGAAGCAAAAACCACCUUAACCUGUGCUAUCUGUGGAUGGGAGUGUCUCUCCGAAAUAAGGCUCCACAGCCACAUGAGGAAGUGUGCUCUGAGAUGAAACCUUAGUCUUUCUACGACUGAAGGAGACCAAUGAUGAUGAUACAGGUCAUUAGUUUUAACACGUCUGAUAAUAAAUGACAGUACAAGUUAUUGAAUGAAAAUUUGUCAUUAUUUCAGGUGCUUUAGGCCUACAUCAAUGUGAGGUACCAGUACUUUGAUUGUGUCAUAUAACAAUUUAAAGCAACAUUUUGAAAUGAAUAGUGUGUAGAAUUGACAGUAAAUACAUUUAAGUGAUGGGCUGUGAUCUGCAUGAAUUGAGAGCUGAUCAUGUAUAGAAUUUGUGUUUUUGAUCUUUACUUCAAGUAAAUGUUAAUGAACAAUUAAUUUUUAAUGAAUAA
Molecule: long non-coding RNA, 2223 nt
Organism: Biomphalaria glabrata
Lineage: Eukaryota; Metazoa; Mollusca; Gastropoda; Planorbidae
Exons: 4
Source: RefSeq, a predicted model, not a curated record